This 1715-nucleotide ribosomal RNA is filed under the name Salmonella enterica subsp. enterica serovar Typhimurium. RNAcentral describes it as "partial 23S ribosomal RNA". It matches the Rfam family "Bacterial large subunit ribosomal RNA", at positions 1154 to 2824 of the family's 2925-position model. Lineage: Bacteria; Pseudomonadati; Pseudomonadota; Gammaproteobacteria; Enterobacterales; Enterobacteriaceae. The record is from RNAcentral.
CGUAUCACCCAAGACAACUUUACGGAGUUGACGAUUGACGGAGCGAAGCGACGUCAAAGCGUUCAUUAAAGUCGAGUUGGCUUAGGGAUACGUUCGUUGGGUAGGGGAGCGUUCUGUAAGCCUGUGAAGGUGUGUCGUGAGGCAUGCUGGAGGUAUCAGAAGUGCGAAUGCUGACAUAAGUAACGAUAAAGCGGGUGAAAAGCCCGCUCGCCGGAAGACCAAGGGUUCCUGUCCAACGUUAAUCGGGGCAGGGUGAGUCGACCCCUAAGGCGAGGCCGAAAGGCGUAGUCGAUGGGAAACGGGUUAAUAUUCCCGUACUUGGUGUUACUGCGAAGGGGGGACGGAGAAGGCUAUGUUGGCCGGGCGACGGUUGUCCCGGUUUAAGGGUGUAGGUGUGUGUUCCAGGUAAAUCCGGUUCACUUUAACACUGAGGCGUGACGACGAGGCACUACGGUGCUGAAGCAACAAAUGCCCUGCUUCCAGGAAAAGCCUCUAAGCAUCAGGUAACACGAAAUCGUACCCCAAACCGACACAGGUGGUCAGGUAGAGAAUACCAAGGCGCUUGAGAGAACUCGGGUGAAGGAACUAGGCAAAAUGGUGCCGUAACUUCGGGAGAAGGCACGCUGACACGUAGGUGAAGUGAUUUACUCAUGGAGCUGAAGUCAGUCGAAGAUACCAGCUGGCUGCAACUGUUUAUUAAAAACACAGCACUGUGCAAACACGAGAGUGGACGUAUACGGUGUGACGCCUGCCCGGUGCCGGAAGGUUAAUUGAUGGGGUCAGCGUAAGCGAAGCUCCUGAUCGAAGCCCCGGUAAACGGCGGCCGUAACUAUAACGGUCCUAAGGUAGCGAAAUUCCUUGUCGGGUAAGUUCCGACCUGCACGAAUGGCGUAAUGAUGGCCAGGCUGUCUCCACCCGAGACUCAGUGAAAUUGAACUCGCUGUGAAGAUGCAGUGUACCCGCGGCAAGACGGAAAGACCCCGUGAACCUUUACUAUAGCUUGACACUGAACAUUGAGCCUUGAUGUGUAGGAUAGGUGGGAGGCUUUGAAGUGUGGACGCCAGUCUGCAUGGAGCCGACCUUGAAAUACCACCCUUUAAUGUUUGAUGUUCUAACGUGGACCCGUAAUCCGGGUUGCGGACAGUGUCUGGUGGGUAGUUUGACUGGGGCGGUCUCCUCCUAAAGAGUAACGGAGGAGCACGAAGGUUGGCUAAUCCUGGUCGGACAUCAGGAGGUUAGUGCAAUGGCAUAAGCCAGCUUGACUGCGAGCGUGACGGCGCGAGCAGGUGCGAAAGCAGGUCAUAGUGAUCCGGUGGUUCUGAAUGGAAGGGCCAUCGCUCAACGGAUAAAAGGUACUCCGGGGAUAACAGGCUGAUACCGCCCAAGAGUUCAUAUCGACGGCGGUGUUUGGCACCUCGAUGUCGGCUCAUCACAUCCUGGGGCUGAAGUAGGUCCCAAGGGUAUGGCUGUUCGCCAUUUAAAGUGGUACGCGAGCUGGGUUUAGAACGUCGUGAGACAGUUCGGUCCCUAUCUGCCGUGGGCGCUGGAGAACUGAGGGGGGCUGCUCCUAGUACGAGAGGACCGGAGUGGACGCAUCACUGGUGUUCGGGUUGUCAUGCCAAUGGCACUGCCCGGUAGCUAAAUGCGGAAGAGAUAAGUGCUGAAAGCAUCUAAGCACGAAACUUGCCCCGAGAUGAGUUCUCCCUGAGACUUAG